UGGGGAAUAUUGCACAAUGGGCGAAAGCCUGAUGCAGCGACGCCGCGUGAGGGAUGACGGCCUUCGGGUUGUAAACCUCUUUCAGUAGGGACGAAGCGCAAGUGACGGUACCUGCAGAAGAAGCACCGGCUAACUACGUGCCAGCAGCCGCGGUAAUACGUAGGGUGCGAGCGUUGUCCGGAAUUACUGGGCGUAAAGAGCUCGUAGGCGGUUUGUCACGUCGUCUGUGAAAUCCUAGGGCUUAACCCUGGACGUGCAGGCGAUACGGGCUGACUUGAGUACUACAGGGGAGACUGGAAUUUCUGGUGUAGCGGUGGAAUGCACAGAUAUCAGGAAGAACACCGAUGGCGAUGGCAGGUCUCUGGGUAGUAACUGACGCUGAGGAGCGAAAGCAUGGGUAGCGAACAGG
Molecule: ribosomal RNA, 409 nt
Filed under: bacterium
Lineage: Bacteria
Description: partial 16S ribosomal RNA
Rfam family: Bacterial small subunit ribosomal RNA
Source: RNAcentral